This 2534-nucleotide ribosomal RNA is filed under the name Candidatus Gottesmanbacteria bacterium GW2011_GWA1_43_11. Its description in RNAcentral is "bacterial SSU rRNA". The stretch from base 1 to 1682 matches the Rfam family "Bacterial small subunit ribosomal RNA", at positions 216 to 1533 of the family's 1533-position model. The record is from RNAcentral. Lineage: Bacteria; Candidatus Gottesmaniibacteriota.
UGCUUCUGGAGCGGCCUUAUUCCUAUCAGCUAGUUGGUGAGGUAACGGCUCACCAAGGCGAUGACGGGUAGGGGACGUGAGAGCGUGAUCCCCCACAAUGGCACUGAGACACGGGCCAUACACCUACGGGUGGCAGCAACUGGGAAUAGUUGUCAAUGGGCGAAAGCCUGAACACGCAAUACCGCGUGAGGGAUGAAGUAUCUCGGUAUGUAAACCUCUUUUGCCAGGUCGUCGAGGCCUGGAGAAUAAGCACCUACUAACUACGUAAUCCCGCUAAUCAUAUUAAUUAUGAGGAAAGCGGGAUGGUGCGUAGUAUAAAUUCCACUAUAUGCUGGAAAAUCUGACGAAGACGAUAGUACCCCGCUUUCAUGUAACCAUGAAGGUUUGGCGGGGUGAAAAUUUAUCGUUAAACCCAUGAAGACACGCGAUUGGUCGGUACGGGUUGGCAGACAAUCAGCAGGAAAGACUACCGCAUUUUUUAAAAAAUGCGGAAAUCUCAAAUCACAAAACUCAAUGACCAACUCAUACAUUGUUGGGAUUUGGAGCUUAAGAUUUGUGAUUUCUCAAAAUGUUAUACAUUUUGAGUUGUAUCCUCAGAGACUACACGUGGAACCCGCCGAUGAGGCGAGGAUGAUAUAGUCCAAGUUUGAAACAUUUAUUGUUUCAGGCCAGCAGUCGCGGUAAUACGUAGGGUGCAAGCGUUAUCCGGAAUUACUGGGCGUAAAGAGUCGCGUAGGCGUUUUCAUACGUCAUGUCUUAAAUAGUGAGGCCUAACCUCAUCGUUGGAUGUGAGACUAUGAGAAUUUGAAGUAGAUAGAGGUACCUGGAACUCGUGGUGGAGUAGUGAAAUGCGUUGAUAUCACGAGGAACACCAAAGGCGAAGGCAAGGUACUGGGUCUUACUUGACGCUGAGGCACGAAAGCUCGGGGAGCGAAGCAGAUUAGAGACCUGCGUAGUCCGAGCCCUAAACGCAUGGAUGCUAGAUUGUCCGCCCUAGGCGGACUGUCGUAAGCUAACGCGUUAAGCAUCCCGCCUGGGGACUACGAGCGCAAGCUUAAAACUCAAAGGAAUUGACGGGGACCCGCACAACCAGUGGAGCAUGUGGUUCAAUUCGAGACGAAGCGAAAGACCUCACCAGGGUUUGACAUGUACCUGCAUACGUCAGAAAUGACGUAGCCUUCGAGGGUGGUACAAAGCUGCUGCAUGGCUGUCGUCAGCUCGUGCCGUGGGGUGUUGGCUUAAGUGCCAGAACGAGCGCAACCCCCAUCCAAUGUUAGAUAUUCAUUGGAGACUGCCCCCUUCUCUGAGAAAACAAUACUUUUGUUUUUUGAGGGAAGGGGGAGGAAGGAGGGGACGACGUCAAGUCAGCACGGCGCUUAUGCCCUGGGCGACACACAUCCUACAAUGGCGAAUAACAACGAGAUGCAAGCACGCGAGUGCAAGCUAAUCUCUGAAAUUUCGCCUCAGUUCAGAUUGCAGUCUGCAACUCGACUGCAUGAAGUUGGAAUUGGUAGUAAUCGCGGAUCAGCAUGGUCGCGGUGAAUACGUUCUCGGGUCUUGUACACACCGCCCGUCAAGUCAACAAAGUUGGUAGUGGCUGAAGUAUUUCGCAAGAAGUCCUAAGCCAAGAUCAGCGAUGGGGACUAAGUCGUCGGCCUAUAGUAUUAGGCAUUGCGACCUCAAACAGCAAUGUUUCUGAAAAACGUAUCUGUAUCGGUGAACCCUACGUCCUGAUGUAUAAUCAAGAUAAGGGAAUACCGAGGGAAGUUUAGAUGAAGCAUGGUCCUACAAACACCAGAUUUUUAAGAGAGAAGAAAUCAUCUCUCAAGUUAACUCCAUUACAAAGAGAUUUCAUUAUUGGGACAAUACUUGGAGAUGGAUGUCUAAUAACUUCUCGAUCUGGUGAGUCAGCGCGCUUACAAGUACGACAGAAAGCAAAAUAUCACGAAUUUGUUUCCUGGAAGUACAAUUUCUUUAAAGAAUGGAUUAUGACGAAACCGCGGUAUGAUCGCUAUAAUGAUUCAGCCGUAUUUCAGACUAUUUCACAUCCAGACUUAAUGGAAAUAAAGAAGCUUUUUUAUCAGGAUAAUAUAAAAAUUAUCCCUGAAAAUAUAAAGGACUUACUUAUAAAUCCAUUAAGCUUAGCUAUUUGGUUUAUGGAUGAUGGAAACGGUUAUAAAAAAUAUCCAUAUUUAAGAUUAAGCACGUAUGCAUUUAAAGAAAGAGGGAAUGAACUUUUACAAAUCUGCCUUAAAGAAAAUUUUGGAUUAAGUUCUAGAAUUGUAGAUUCCAGUAAAGGGAAUUAUCUCUAUUUUUUAAAAGACUAUGCACUUAAACUUUAUAAACUCAUCAAGCCAUAUGUUAUUCCAUGUAUGGAGUACAAGUUUAUAAAGGUUAAAUCUAUAACCCCGUAGAGACUACACGAUGCCUCCUGAUUGGCUAUCAGGAUGAAGAUAUAGUCCAUGCCUCUGGAAACAGAAGGAAUAACAUGAACAAGGUAUCCCUAGCCGAAGCUGGGGAUGGAUCACCUCCUU